CGCUUGGCAGUCAGUCAGCUUCAAGCUUUCGGUGGACGAUGUUGCGCCCUUCUCGGUGGACCCCAAGCGGUGCUGCGACUUGCCUCAGUCAGACAGUAGUGUCCGGUGCGUGUGUAUGUGUGACUCCGUAUGUGUGUGCACUCUUUGGCACCUAAUUCUGGCGCUGGAAAACGAGAAUAAAAAACGGAAGAAGGAUACUGCUGUUUCCCGAGAAAGGUGUCGGCAGCCCACCCAUUAAAGGAUAACUGUUGCUGCUAUCGAGGAAAGCUUGUGCGAAGACCGGAAGAAGAGAGUGUCCACGAUUUUCUGUUUUUCGCACUGACUGGAGCGGAAAUUCGGGGUAGACGACCGAAACGCACGAUUGGCGCGUAUUUUCUAAUUCGUUUCCAGUUCCGGCAGCCGGCAGUUGGCGGUGGCAAUCAGUGAAAAAAUGUGGCGAUCGCUUUGCGUGUGACUUUUUCGCGCGGUUUUCUUUUGUGCACGGGGGGUGGUGAUUUGAAUGUAAUGAGCGUGGGCUGCCUUUCUGUCGAAUGUGUGGUUGAAUGGCGUGGGAAAAUCGCGAUUAGUGACGGUCAGAUAAGUAGUGGAGCUUUUCGGGUGCCCUGUUGGCGUUAAUUGGUGGUGAUUUGUGACAUGGGGAGAUUGUUUUUGAUGUGAAAUAGUUUAGAUUGUGUAGGAGAGAUGUGUUAAUUCAAUGUUGAAAAUCGAUAAAUUUAUUGUGAAAAUAAGUGUAAGCCGUUGAUGUUUGAUGUUGGUGUAAGAGUUCUAUCACGCAAUCAUAAGUGAAAUAUCAUAGUUUUAUGGAAGUUUGUGAUUAGGAGAAUAUAAUGGUGUGACUGCUAAAUGAACUUGAGCAAUUCAUAAUCCAACAUCAAUCAGUUGAAAUAUUGACACCAUGCUUCAUCAAGCGUUUCAUUGGAAACCAUCGGUUUGAUAUGGAUUUUUUUGUGUGAACCAGAACUCAAUCGUCGCCAGGAGCGUACUUUCAGCAACAAAAAAAAACUUUCAACACUUGCCAAAGCAAUAUCACAGUAAAAGCGGUUUACCGGAAAUGCCGUUUCCAUCGUGAAGCUUCGAGUGGGUGCAGGAAAGGGGGUAAAUGUUUUGCAGCACCUGAAAUGCAACGGCACCAAAUCAAUCGGGUCGGAAAAUUGUAAUUGUACGAUUUGAGAACGAGCGGAAGUGCAAAAAGUGUGUUACACACCUGAACCCAGGGCGCUGAAUCAAAGGGGAAUUGGUCCCAACAACUACGGAAUCCUGAAUCACGACCAACCCAGUUUGACGUGGUAUGAUAAAUAUUUUCUCGUUUUCUGUGUGGCGCAGCAGUGAAAAUCUCGAAGUGGAAAAAAAAAAUGUUUGAAAAAUGAAUUCCAAUAUCGACAAGUUUGACGGACAAUCAUCAGCAGCUGCACCGCAGUCCGGCAGGAAGAACUCAAAGUGAUAACGAUCAUCAUCAUCAUCAUCGGAAGUGAGAAGUUGCUACCAAAUAGGAGAAGUUUUUCCCAGUGAAGAAAGUUUGGCUGGCGGUCUCCUGAGUAGAGGAAUUGGUGCAGUUUUUCUGCGGGGGCUUAAGACCGGCUGUGGUCACUUUUUUUUCUGUGUGGAAGAUUUGCUAAAGUUGUGUAACUGGCACUUUGUUUGGGUGGGAUUUUUCCGGUUCAGUAGUUAGCCGGUGAAUUUGGUGAAGUUUUUGGUUUUGUGCUCGAGAAAAAAAAACCACUAAGAAGAUAGCGAGGGACAUCCUUCAAGGGUCGGAACCUUAUUUGCAUCGACUUUUGACGAGCUUUUCCAUCGACUGCAGUAGCAGCAACAUCAUCAUCAAACAGCUGGCAGGCAGCACAGAGGCAAUUUUCGGAAUGGACAUGGAUAUCAUCGACAUCCGGACGUUGGGAUAUCUUUCCAGCACUAGCACGGUGAGUUAUUUUAUGAGUUGGGUUCU
Molecule: long non-coding RNA, 1939 nt
Organism: Aedes aegypti (yellow fever mosquito)
Lineage: Eukaryota; Metazoa; Arthropoda; Insecta; Diptera; Culicidae
Exons: 4
Source: RefSeq, a predicted model, not a curated record